This 468-nucleotide ribosomal RNA is filed under the name uncultured bacterium. RNAcentral's name for it is "partial 16S ribosomal RNA". It matches the Rfam family "Bacterial small subunit ribosomal RNA", at positions 28 to 507 of the family's 1533-position model. The record is from RNAcentral.
GACGAACGCUGGCGGCGUGCUUAACACAUGCAAGUCGAACGGAAAGGCCCUGCUUUUUUGUGGUUCUCGAGUGGCGAACGGGUGAGUAACACGUGAGUAACCUUCCCUUUACUUUGGGAUAACUUCAGGAAACUUGUGCUAAUACCUGAUAGGAGCUCCUGCUGCAUGGUGGGGGUUGGAAAGUUUCGGCGGUUGUGGAUGGACUCGCGGCUUAUCAGCUUGUUGGUGGGGUAGUGGCUUACCAAGGCUUUGACGGGUAGCCGGCCUGAGAGGGUGACCGGCCACAUUGGGACUGAGAUACGGACCAGACUCCUACGGGAGGCAGCAGUGGGGAAUAUUGCACAAUGGGCGGAAGCCUGAUGAAGCAACGCCGCGUGCGGGAUGACGGCCUUCGGGUUGUAAACCGCUUUCGCCUGUGACGAAGCGUGAGUGACGGUAAUGAGUAAAGAAGCACCGGCUAACUACGUG